CCCCCUCCCAAAAAUAAUUAGAGAAAACCCCCUUACCUAAUAUCCUACCCAAAUAUUAUUUAAUAAUUCCCAAACCACCCUUAUUAGCCCUAACCUAUUGCCGUUCUCUUCUUUUUUUCUCGUCCUCGUCUCUCUCUCUUCUACCGUUCUGCCGUUCUCUCUUCUGCUUUUCUCGUCUUCCCUCUUCUCGUCUUCUCUCUUCUCUUGGCAAUUACCUGAGGUUGGUAGUGGAAAGGCGACGGUUGAUGGGGUCGACAAACGCGCCGCCGGAUGAGACGGUGGGCGGAGGGUAAGAAGCCGAAGGGGGUGGGAAAGGAGACGAAACGAAAUUAGGGUUAGGCAGAGCGUUGCUGAUAUUAUUGACGAUGAAGUGCUGCGGAUUAUUAGGGUUUCAUGAGUGAUGGUAAUGAUGGUUGUGGCGGCGGUUUUGAGUGGAGGAUUGCGAUGGGUCUGUUGGUGGUGGCGGUUUUGGGUGGAGGAUUGCGAUGGGUCUGCUGGCGGCGGCGGUUUUGGGUGGAAAAUUCCGAUGGGUUUGCUGAAUUCGCGCAGAAAAAGAAAUUCGCGCAGGCAGGGCCUUAAUCGACUACGUGUGUUUAAUCGACUAUGUCAAUAGUCGAUUAAGGCUUAAUCGACUAUGUUCAGUAGUCGAUUAAGGUUAACCAAUUCCAGUUGUUAAUUUUUUUUUU
RNAcentral lists this long non-coding RNA (686 nucleotides) under Erythranthe guttata (spotted monkey flower). RNAcentral's name for it is "long non-coding RNA (EGUT_LNC003026)". The record is from RNAcentral. Lineage: Eukaryota; Viridiplantae; Streptophyta; Magnoliopsida; Lamiales; Phrymaceae.